RNAcentral lists this ribosomal RNA (446 nucleotides) under uncultured Gammaproteobacteria bacterium. RNAcentral describes it as "bacterial SSU rRNA". It matches the Rfam family "Bacterial small subunit ribosomal RNA", at positions 1084 to 1532 of the family's 1533-position model. Lineage: Bacteria; Pseudomonadati; Pseudomonadota; Gammaproteobacteria. The record is from RNAcentral.
AUCCGCACGAGCGCACCCUUAUCCUUAGUUGCCAGCACGUAAUGGUGGGAACUCUAAGGAGACUGCCGGUGACAAACCGGAGGAAGGUGGGGACGACGUCAAGUCAUCAUGGCCCUUACGAGAUGGGCUACACACGUGCUACAAUGGCAAGUACAAAGGGUUGCAAACUCGCGAGAGUAAGCGGAUCCCAUAAAGCUUGUCGUAGUCCGGAUUGGAGUCUGCAACUCGACUCCAUGAAGUCGGGAUCGCUAGUAAUCGUGGAUCAGAAUGCCACGGUGAAUACGUUCCCGGGCCUUGUACACACCGCCCGUCACACCAUGGGAGUGGGCUGCAAAAGAAGUGGGUAGCUUAACCUUCGGGAGGGCGUUCACCACUUUGUGGUUCAUGACUGGGGUGAAGUCGUAACAAGGUAGCCGUAGGGGAACCUGCGGCUGGAUCACCUCCUU